UACAGAGGUCUCAAGCGUUGUUCGGAUUCAUUGGGCGUAAAGGGCGCGUAGGCGGCGCGGUAAGUCGGGUGUGAAAUCUUGGAGCUUAACUCCGAAACUGCAUUCGAUACUGCCGUGCUUGAGGACUGGAGAGGAGACUGGAAUUUACGGUGUAGCGGUGAAAUGCGUAGAUAUCGUAAGGAAGACCAGUGGCGAAGGCGGGUCUCUGGACAGUUCCUGACACUGAGGCACGAAGGCCAGGGGAGCAAACGGG
This 253-nucleotide ribosomal RNA is filed under the name uncultured bacterium. RNAcentral describes it as "partial 16S ribosomal RNA". It matches the Rfam family "Bacterial small subunit ribosomal RNA", at positions 524 to 776 of the family's 1533-position model. The record is from RNAcentral.